Helianthus annuus (common sunflower) is the source of this 1831-nucleotide long non-coding RNA. RefSeq lists it as uncharacterized. The record is from RefSeq and is a predicted model, not a curated record. Lineage: Eukaryota; Viridiplantae; Streptophyta; Magnoliopsida; Asterales; Asteraceae. The transcript is spliced from 5 exons.
CCAUACCACAAACUUGCAGCAGAUUCCCAAAUCUAAUACAACCUUCACCUUUUUCAUCAAACCAAACCCUAUCAUCUCUAAUUAUAAUCCGUGUAAAUCAAUACAUGUAGCUAUUAAUUAUUGACAGAGAAAGAGAAAAGUGAUGGAGAUGGUGAAGGUGGGUCCGCUAAUCUGCUCCGGCGAAUAAGCCUAACACGUAGUGCUCUGAUUUCUCUGGUGUUCCUCUAGCUGUUGGAAGGGUCUGCCAUCCGCGUCUCCGUCGUGCCUCCUUCGGUACCGGCAGAUGAGCAUGUUUAUUUGAUCUGGACGCGUGUUAAUUGACUGACGUGUCUCACCACCGCUUGCUUUUUAGUUUCUUUAGGUUUACAACUCAUCCAUCCGCACACAGUUCCGUUGCAAGAGAGAGAGGGAGACGACCCUGCCUCCGCCCUUCCACCGCUCCGAGUGUCACAAUCACGAUCAACGUCUCCACCCUAACAGUGGAAUCGGAAUUGGUUUGUCAUGUAUAGGGUUUCGAUUAUGAGAUACAGUAUCACCUUCGCCGUCUCCAUUCUCAAAGACCAGGUAUGUGGUUUUUUUUUUUCCGGUCUAUUGAAAUCCUUUUCAUCAAGUGAUCUGCGGCCUUCUUUGUUUGCUGACAACCGUUAGAAUGUCAAGUCACGAAACAGGUGAAAAAGCUGACCUUUAGUUCCAUUGCAAACCUUUUGAUUUGUCAAUCAAUAUUGAAAUUUUUAGUUGGGGAUUUGAGAUGUAAAAUGGCGUUUGAAACCAUAAAUUUAAUUGGGGAAGAUGAACAUAACGAAUGGAAUUGUGGUGUGUUCAAAACAAUCAAGAGAGAUGUGAAAACGUGACGUAACCCACAUGAGAAAGUCACGAAUGGAAUUGAAUGAAUUUCUAAUGGUUGAAUUAGUUUUGCUUGCUUAAUUAAAUUUCUUAUGGAAAUGGAUUGUAAGAGGAAACGCAAACCAAUGAGUUGUUGUAGUUGAACUUCAAAAGAUCUAAUUGUGCUAAUGUGAGUUAAAUAAAUUAGAUGGCCAUAAAUUAAUAUUAUUCAAAGUGCAGGGCCAUAAAGUUAAUGUAACUUUAUGCAUUAUGUUUCUUAACCGCUCAAUAAUAUUUCUUGCAUUAUUGAGGCUUAAAGCAUUCGAAUCAGGUGUUUGGAGCAGACUAAUAAUGACUUUGAUCAAAGCAAACAUUGCUGAGGUGUUUGGGUCUAUGCAUUGUUUGCUUGAUAGAUGAUCAUUAUUCAUUUAGAAGUUCAUAUUGAAUCAGAUAUGAAACUUAGACCAACACUCAACUCUGUAUCCACAUAUGAAGGAAGCAGCAACGAUCCAGGUGAAAAAGCUACUUAAAAGGCAAUCUUUUUGAAUGUCUAGAAGCAUGUUAUAUGAAAAUGUAUGUGAUAAUAAUGAACUUGCUGAUGAUGGACAGGUCUAUAAAUGAAUUUCAUUCUCAUAGAUUUUGUAUAUACGACAUUACAAACAGGGCCCGCCCAAGGGGAUCCAACUCAUGGUAGGGCUUAGGCCCCCACUUGAGAAGGAGAAGGACCGCCAAUUUCUGUAAUAAAUUCCUUAAACCAGGUGAAUUCGACUUGAAACAGAGCAGAGCAGAGCUUGAGCGGCUGGUUAGUUUUGUGAUCAUCUAACACCUUAAGAGGAACAAAGGGGGCGAAUAGACAAUUGGAGGGAUGAAUCGACUGUCGAAUAAUUGGGGAGAAACAAAGGGGCGUGCAGCAAUGAGGAUUGAUUCUAUCUCGAGUCUUGGUAAGUUUUUUUAUUGUCAUUCACUAUUUCAUUCUUUUGUUCUUCAACUCUCGGAUUUACUUUCUCAU